This 107-nucleotide small nucleolar RNA is filed under the name Sorghum bicolor (sorghum). RNAcentral's name for it is "Plant small nucleolar RNA R71". It matches the Rfam family "Plant small nucleolar RNA R71". From Rfam's summary of the family: R71 is a member of the C/D box family of snoRNAs containing the C (UGAUGA) and D (CUGA) box motifs. Multiple nearly identical copies of this snoRNA have been identified in Arabidopsis, and it is thought to function as a 2'-O-ribose methylation guide for 18S ribosomal RNA. The record is from Rfam by way of RNAcentral. Lineage: Eukaryota; Viridiplantae; Streptophyta; Magnoliopsida; Poales; Poaceae.
AUCCCAUGGCGCGGACAGGAAGCAACAUAGUCUUGCAUUCUCUCCCAACCAUCGGGAAUAGAUUCCUCAAUAUGUUGUGUAAAGCUAGAGAUUUUAUUGCAAAGAGC